GUGUGAAAUAGACCUGAAACCAUAAGCUUACAAUGUGUAGGAGCACCGCAAGGUGUGACUGCUUGCCUUUUGCAUAAUGAGUCUGCGAGUUAUUGUCAGUGGCCAGCCUAAGUUCUUAUGGAACGGAGGCGAAGGGAAACCGAGUACGAAAUGUGCGUUUAGUCGCUGGCAAUAGACCCGAAGCGGAGGUGAUCUACUCUUGAGCAGGUUGAAGCUUUAGUAACAUAAAGUGGAGGACCGAACUCGUGAAUGUUGAAAAAUUCUGAGAUGACUUGAGAGUAGGAGCGAAAGACUAAUCAAACCCCGUGAUAGCUGGUUCUCUCCGAAAUAGCUUGAGGGCUAGCGUCGAGCAAGUACUCCGAGGAGGUAGAGCACUGGAUGGCUUAGAGUCCCUACCAGGAUAUCAAAACCAAUCAAACUCCAAAUGCCUCGGAUCCCAUUACCUCGGCAUUCAGGCUGCGAGGGAUAAGCUUCGUAGCCGAGAGGGCAACAGCCCAGAUCGCCAGCUAAGGUGCCUAAAUACUAUUAAGUGGAAAGGAUGUGACGUUGCUUAGACAGUGAGGAUGUUGGCUUAGAGGCAGCCAUCAUUUAAACAGUGCGUAAUAGCUGACUCAUCGAGCGAUGUCGCGCCGAAAAUGAUUGGCGAUAAAUAGUAUACCGAAGCUGCGGACUUGAGAGGGUUUCGACCCUUUCAUUUGGUAGGAGAGCGUAAUUCAUGCAGUGAAGCCUUACUGGAAAGGACGGUGGAGCGUGAAUUAGUGAGAAUGCAGACAUGAGUAGCGAUAAACCAGAUGAGAAUUCUGGUCGCCGUAAACCUAAGGUUUCCUGGGCAAGGUUCGUCCUCCCAGGGUUAGUCGGGAGCUAAGAUGAGGCCGUAAGGCGUAGUCGAUGCACAGCAGGUUAAUAUUCCUGCACCAACUAGGAUUAAGGACUGGAGUGAAGCAGAGAGGAAAGUGACUAGGCAAUCGAAUGCUGAGCCGAGGGGCAACCCGAAGCGUAUCACCGGACAAUCUGUCGAGAAAAGCUCCUUUUUCGUUUCCCUAGGUGCCCGUACCGUAAACCGACACAGGUGGGUGGGUCGAGUAGACCAAGGCGCGCGAGAGAAACCUCUCUAAGGAACUCGGCAAAAUAGCCCCGUAACUUCGGGAGAAGGGGUACCCACUUCGGUGGGUCACAGUAAAUUGGGUUUAGCGACUGUUUAACAAAAACACAGCACUCUGCCAAGUUGUGAAAACAACGUAUAGGGUGUGACACGUGACCAAUGCGGAAAGAUCAAGGUGACUUGUUAGCCGCAAGGCGAAGCUCGGAGCCAAAGUCCCCGUGAAUGUCGGCCGUAACUAUAACGGUCCUAAGGUAGCGAAAUUCCUUGUCGAAAAG
RNAcentral lists this ribosomal RNA (1377 nucleotides) under metagenome. RNAcentral describes it as "bacterial LSU rRNA". It matches the Rfam family "Bacterial large subunit ribosomal RNA", at positions 536 to 1979 of the family's 2925-position model. The record is from RNAcentral.